GUCCUUGCCGUAAACGAUGUAUACUUGAUGGAGUUGGGCUCAACCCUGACUGUGUCGAAGCUAACGCGAUAAGUAUACCGCCUGGGGAGUACGCUCGCAAGGGUGAAACUCAAAAGAAUUGACGGGGGCCCGCACAAGCAGUGGAGCAUGUGGUUUAAUUCGAUGCAACGCGAAGAACCUUACCCAGGCUCGAAAUGUAAUGGACGAUAUCAGAGAUGGUAUUUCCGCAAGGACUAUUAUAUAGGUGCUGCAUGGCUGUCGU
This 262-nucleotide ribosomal RNA is filed under the name uncultured bacterium. Its description in RNAcentral is "partial 16S ribosomal RNA". It matches the Rfam family "Bacterial small subunit ribosomal RNA", at positions 793 to 1055 of the family's 1533-position model. The record is from RNAcentral.